UCAUUUCAUUGUGCAUCCCAACAGAAUGGUCAGACCCAGCCCAUUAAGUGAUUGUCCUGUGGCCCAUAAUCACGAAGGUUCCAAAGGUCCACCACCAUCCACAUCAGAGUAGGCCAGAGGGCAUAAACUAAAACAGUAUAUUCGAUUCAACAUCCGGCUUAUGUUAGCUACUAAAACAGUAACACACAUUUUCACACUAGCCCAAAUUUAUUAGUAAAGAAAUUGGCGCAUCCAACCCAAGAACAUGAUCAUUAACAGACCACAUUCAAUGAUUCAACCUUUUAAAGAUGUCACGUUCAUCUUAGCACAUGGGUUCUACACAUCUAAACAUAUAGUAGCAUAUAUAAACAAUCAUCGAUGACUUCAUGUCAUCCCUCAGAUUAGUGAACCUUGUGACGACGUUAUAACCAAAGCAAUAGACUCCUCACAGGCUUCUCUCAACCACGUGGUAGAAAGAGAGACUACUUUUGUUGUAUUAAAUUAAAAGACAAAGACCCCACUC
RNAcentral lists this long non-coding RNA (502 nucleotides) under Brassica napus (rape). Its description in RNAcentral is "long non-coding RNA (BNAP_LNC000904)". Lineage: Eukaryota; Viridiplantae; Streptophyta; Magnoliopsida; Brassicales; Brassicaceae. The record is from RNAcentral.